Molecule: long non-coding RNA, 2390 nt
Filed under: Sorghum bicolor (sorghum)
Lineage: Eukaryota; Viridiplantae; Streptophyta; Magnoliopsida; Poales; Poaceae
Description: long non-coding RNA (SBIC_LNC017401)
Source: RNAcentral
GGGCUGUCUGCCAGUAGAGGGUAUGGGAAAAGUAAUAGGAGAUUUUACAUUGGGAACCCUAGAAUGUUUUUUAUUUUGUUUUUGCCCUUCUACAAAGGUUGGACGGAGGGGACCGAUUAGGCAAACCGAAAACGUGAACAGGAGCAGACGGAAGAAAAUAUAGGGCAGACCGAAAUUUUGGCUCUUUAUAAAUAGGUAUAGGUAUAGAUUUCUAGACCAAAGAGCUCAUCUGUCAGGCUAUAAUUUCUUUUGGGUCAAUUUGGAAGAAAUUUAAAUAUAACAGAAAGGGAUACAAAUUACAGAAUACAGAUUUAUACAGCGCUCAGGUUUUACAAAGCUGCUCUGGUGUUUCUGGCAGACAAAGGGGCUGAACACUCGAUUGAGAAGGUAAAUAAAAAAACCAAAUGUUUUUAUACCUGCAACACUUGAUUGUCAUGACCGUUGGAUUCAAAUCAGAUGAACAAAAACUAUCUCAAUAAUACCAAAAUAUUAAAUAAAAUAAUGAAAAAUUAGCUAGAUUAUUUCUAUGGAAGUCAAAUGAGAAAAUUUUAAAGAGGAACCAAAUAAAUAAAAACAUACAAAAACUAAAAAAACCAAAAACAAGUUCAGAUUACCACUAGUACACAAGAGCUCAAAGCCGGCGGUGGCAAAAUCUUUCCACAGGUGGUUUUAGUAACCAUACGUCAGUGUUGUAAAAACAGUACGGCAGGAGAUAACAACCGCCUAUAAAAAGGCAUUAGCACAGGUGGUUCACCUAACUUCACCGUCUGUGUAAAUCCUCCAUUUACACAGGCGGUUCGGUUAAGUCAACCGCCUAUGGUAAUGCCUUUCCAUAGACGGUUGACUUAACUGAACCGCUUGUGAUUUACACAGGCGGUGAAGUUAGGUGAACGGACUGUGGUAAGGCCUUUUUACAGGCGGUUUCUUAAGCAAAACGCCUUUGCUAUUCUUUCUAUAAAUACUCCCAGCCUCCCUUCUUCCUCCUCGGGCAGAAUUGUUGAUAGCAGCCAGCUUCCAUUGGAGGCCAUCUUGGAGGUCUAGAUUUUCCAAAAUACAAGGGAGAGAUUUUGAUCUUCAUUUCAUGGAAGGAGGGGGCUAAGAAAGGUUAGUUCAUGCCUCUAAUGCCUCUUUUUGUGCCCUCUUGCUCAAUUGAGCUACUUUUUGGAUCUAGGGUUUUACCAUGAGAGGGAGAGAGUAGACUAGCUAUGUAUGUACUAUAUUUGCUCAAAUGAGGUUGCUUAAGAUGGUUAGAUGAUGUCUCUCCUCUCCCCAUUUUCAUGUUUCCUUCUCUAACUAGUGAAUCCAAGAAAUAUAUAUAUAGUGGUUUCCAUGAAUGUUGUUUCCAUGCUUGGGAAGAGAGAGAAAAAUAGCUUUUCUUUUUAGUUUUUAAAAUUAUAUUGUUUAGGAUGUUAUUUUUUCUAUAAAUUUGAUUUAAUUAUGCAGUAUGCAUUUUUCAUGUAUGAGGUUGCUUAAGAUGAUGCCUCUCCUCUCACCAUUUCCAUGUUUGCUUCUCAAAUUUAUUUUAGUGAAAUAAAGAUAUAUAUUUAGUUUCCAUCAACGGUGCUUUUCUACCUUGUCAAUUUGAUUUUGUUGUUAGGUGUUCCUUUUUGAAUUAUUACUUAGGGUUUUGUCUUUAUUUUUUAUACUUGUUUUAUUUUUUUUCAUUUUGAUUUAAUUGUUAAGUGUUCUUUAUUUUUGAUAACAAAUAUUCCUAGACAAUAUUUCAUACUUGUUUUACAUUGAGAUCAAUUUUUUUACUAAUUUUUCAACAGCUCAUGAUGGAGAGGUCCUUAUGGAUGUAUAACUUAUCAAGAUUAGAUCCAUCAUAUAUACUCGAGGUGCAUAGGUUUGUUGAUGCCGUUAAGAACCAUGCUUCAAGUAGCGGAAGCUUCAUAGUUUGAAAUUACAACACACACGAUAAGUCUGAUACAGUGCUAUAGUUUGGUCAUCCCUACAAAAGCAAAGGAAGAGACAGAGUGACCAUCGCCCUUGGUCUAGUCAUCACCCAUAGCUGGGUACAGACAGAGGAUGCAAUAACCAUAGUACAUUUGAACAUCUGCAAAACAACAUGGGAAUAGAACCCUGAGUACGAGAAGGUACUCAGCUAGACUUACCCGUCAUAAACUUAAAAUAAAGACUCAUCAAGGGUCAUGAAGGCUAUAUAGUGGGGUAGCUGACGACCAUUUUGCAAAACCGCAGUAUUUCGCUAACAUAACCUACAUAAGUCUUUCUUCUUUUAAUUGGCUCAAGUUGAAAGUAUCAUUACCUAUCGUUUAGGUUUGCACCUGCACUAUUACAAGCAAGUAUGAGACUAUGAUAGUACCUCAUCAUAGCAUUUCUUAAAACUAUUCAUCGUUAUAACCCAAGUGUUCCAUAGUCCUUACUACGAG